AUAACUUUCUCAGUUUAGCCAUUUUUUAAGGUCAGGUCAGCAAGCAACAAAGUCUUAAAGUUUUCUUUCAUCUGGUAAUGUGUUAAUUCUGCCUUCAUUUUUGAAGGAUAGUUUUGGCAGAUACUCAGUUUGCAGUUAAGUCUUCUUUUACAAAUUGGAAGAAAAAUGUUGUGCCACCUCCUUGUGAUGAACUCAAUAAUUUCUUGAGAAAUCUGUUAUUUGAAUUGGUCACUCCCUAGGGGUAAUGAGUCAUUUCUCUGGGGUUGCUUUUAAGUUUUUUUCUUUAGAUUUCAGAAUUUUAAUGAUGUUUUAAUGUGGAUUUCUUAGGAUUUAUUUUAUUUGGUGUUCAUUUGGCUUCUUGAAUCUAUUUUUUUAGUUCUGUAACUUCCCCCUUGAACUUUGGUGUAACUUCUGUGUUGUUUUUUUUUUUUUUUAAUUCUUGAGAUCUUGUAACUUUUUUCAUUUGUUUCAAGAGAACUUGUGAUUGCUUGAGGCAUUUCUUUAAUGGCUGCUUUAAUAUCCCUGUCAGUUCCAAUAUCCUACUCAUCUCACUGUUGGUAUCGAUUGUCUUUUCUCAUUUAAGUUUUGAUAUCCUGGUUCUUGGUAUGAUUAGUAAUUUUCUAUUGCAUUCUGCACCUUUAGCUGUUAAGACUCUGGAUCAUACUUAAAACUGACUUUAGCAGGCAGUCACCCUGUUUUUAGGUUAGUUCCCAGAUUGCAACCUAUAUUUUGCAGGUGGUUCUUAACCCAAUGACAGUGUAGCUUUCAGAGCUCUUGCAAUGCUAUUUAGGUUUACUUGGCUUAUUUGGUACCAUUGUUCUUUCCACCUUUUCAUGCUGGGAUUGGGAGCGUGGAAGGGGUUUCCCUAAAACAGGCUGCUUGGUGUCUCUAGAUAGGGGAAAGGAUGCUCUGGCUCAAAAGGGGGAGCAAAGGUUUCGCAGGUGGAGCUGCUAAUAUUCCAGUGCCUCCUGGCAACCUGUUGUCUGCGAGAAGGGAGAUGGGUCUCUCCUUGGGCUGGGCAGUGUAGCAGGGAUGGCCUUCCUGGUGUGACCCAUCUGCUAAGUGUUUUUCAUCUAGAUAGAAAGUCUCAGGUCUCUGGGGAUAAAGAACAGUUCCUAGAACAGGUGUGUCUGUGGCAGGACCCUCCCAGUCUGUGUUGGGUCUGGUGAGGGUGGGGAGUCUCAGCCCUGUGAGACUAAAAAGCACUUCCCUUAAUCAUUCCCACCUGCUGGUGCUGCUGGACUCACAGUGUUGUCAGCAGGACUUUUGUUCCAUCUGGGGAGGAAUGGACCUACCUGGGCUGUCUUUUGCUAGUUUGGGAGCCAGAAAAUGCUGGGCCACUUUGCACCUUGUGAUUCUUACACCUCCCCCCCCCCCCCAACCCCAUAGAACAUUCUCCAGGAGAUACAGCUAAUUCCCUUCUCCUGGAGUAUGAACUGGACCCACUGAUUACUUCUAACGAAUAGGGUAUGGAAAGAGUGAAAAUGGGAAGUUUACAGUGGAAAGUCCUGGCAGAUACCAGUUUUACCAAGUGAUCAAGGUUACAUUACCAUGAAUAAAUCUGGUUAGUAUGUACCAUUUGACAAUAUAGUAAGGAUACUUCACUUCUGUGGUAUUCUACAAAGUUGGUAAUGCAAAUCUAAUAAUGAGAAAAUAGAUAAUCCCAAAUUAUGAGGUUCUAUAAAAUACUUGAGCUCUCUGUCAAGGUUAUAGAUGACAAAGACUGACAGAGGAACUGUUACAGAUUGGAGGAGACUAAAGACACAUGAGGACAAAUGCAAUAUAGGAUCCUAGCCUGGAUCCUAGAUCACAAAAAGGACAAUUAUGGAAAAUCUGAACAGUUCCUAAUAGUGUCCUAAAGUUAAUGUCUUAGCUCUGAUAACACUAUGAUAAGAUAUUAAUAUUAGGAGAAAAAAUGUAGUUCCCAGUCGGCCCUUGACAUUCUCCCGUAAGCAGCAGACUACUAACCUGUAUACUUACUACUGUCCUGGACAUGGUAUUUUCCCCCAGUUUCUAAGUCAUGAGUGUAUGGAAUUAGUUUGGUGCUUAAACUGCCCCAGACUUGGACAGUGGGUAGGAAACCCUUCAGACCGGCUCCUGUGGCCCCAGUGUCAUGUUCCAUCAUGUUUCUCAACACUUCCUCACUUUCUGGUAUUACCAGACAUUCAGGAUCCCCUCAUACCUACCCUGCCUUAACCUUGAAGCUGCCAUUAACCCAGGAAGCCAGGAUUUCCACAAAAGAAAACAGUGCUAGACUCAGAUCUGCACACUGGAUGUGUGGAUGCCCAUGGGGCCGCCCUUGCUUCUUGGUCUUGUAGCAGAGGUUAGAAAAUACACACAAAUACAUCUGCCCAUACAGGUCCACGCACACACGUGAGCACAUAUGCACUUAGGAAUCUCAUGUUCACAUACGUACUUCAUCACAAUGGCUCACAGGAUUAUUUUCUUGCUUUGCCCCAAUGUAUAUUUGUAUGACUUUGCUUCCUUGGUGAGAACCCUGUCUCACUACAGCAUAGCCCCAUGUAUGCCUGUGCUCAUUCCUCUGAUGCAGGAGAUUGCUCCAGAACUGCUUCACCAUCAUGCUACAGAAAAUACACUGAAGGGUGAGGGAUGUUUGUUUUUUGUCAUCCUAAGAAAACUAGGAUAGUAAACCCUGCCCAAAUCCUCUGUGCAUUAUUCCCCUUCUUACACGAAAGGCAACAAACUAUAUAUGGUUUGGCACUUUGCUCUUUUUACUUAAAACAUUUCUUAAAAAUAAUUCCAUGACAUUUCGUUGGUAUCUUCAUUUUUUUUUCUCGCAUUUUACUCCAUCGUAUGUACCUGUUUAUUCAAUUUCCUGUGCUUAGUCAAGCAGUUUUCAGAAUUUGGAACUAGAAAGCAUGCUAUAAAAAUAACUAUGCAUGUGUGUAUUCAUUCAUACACUUGUCAGUGACUCUCCAGGACACAUUUUCAGAAAUGUGCUUGUUGUGGCAAUGGGCAGGUGUACAUAUAGUCUUGUUACCCUAAAUAUUGCCAGGUUCACCUAUAUAAGGCUUAUGCCAUUUUGCAUUCCUGCCAACAGUGUAUGAAAAUGCAUUUUCCUGCAGCCCUACCAGGCAGAGUACUGUCCAGCUUUUGAGUUUUCAUCAAGCUGAGUGAAAUAAUUUGAGUGUAGUUGUAGUUUGCAUUUAUCUUAUCAUGAGUGAAGCUCAGCAGCUUCUCAAUAUACCUCUUUUGGUAAACUGAUCAGGUCUUUUGUCCACUUUCUUUGGCAUUUCUGGUCUUUUGAUUUUUUGAAAGUCUGUUAAAUGACCUUUUAUUUGUGAAAUACGUUGACAUUUGUUUUUUGAUAUAUAUAUUUUUUGCCAUGUAAAAUUUUGGUUAUUUUAUUUGGGGGGUAUUAAUUUUUUAUUGCCUCAGGGCCCGGGGAAAAUGACUGUGGGGACCAUUCUGUGCCCCAGGCAAAGGGACAAGGCCAGCCCUGGGCUGGGCACAAAGCAAGCUAAAGGGACAGUACCUUGGGCUGGGUGGAAAGACAGGUGCUCUAGCUCCUUAGCCCCUGUCUGGUGGACUAGGGAGGGUUGUGGAAGAAAGGCCCGGAGUCCUC
RNAcentral lists this long non-coding RNA (3586 nucleotides) under Canis lupus familiaris (dog). RNAcentral's name for it is "lncRNA (ENSCAFG00845021405.1)". The record is from RNAcentral. Lineage: Eukaryota; Metazoa; Chordata; Mammalia; Carnivora; Canidae.